AAGAAGAGAGACCUGUUAUUCCUGAUUCACCUGCCCCACCACCCCCUGCCCUGCAGCCCAGAUUAGUCCUGGCAUGUCAACUAGCAGAGUGACAGUGACAAGUGCUUUCUAUGGUUUAAUUUCUCUCUCCCUCCUCUUUCACAUCUUUCUCUUCUUUCCCUUUCUCUUUCUUCUCUCCCUCUUUUUUCUCUUCUUCCUUCUCUUCUGUUUUAGUUUCUAUUUCCUUUCCUCUUUCUUUUCUGUUCUUUUCUUUUGGGGCAGGAUCUUUCUCUGUUGCCUGGGCUGGAGUGUAGUGGCAUGAUCUUGGCUCACUGUAGCCUUGACCUCCUGGGCUCAAGUGAUUCUCCCACAUCAGCCUCCUGAGUAGCUGGGACGACAGGUGCAUGCCACCAUGCCUGGCUAAUUUUUAAGUCAUAGUAUUUUGCUAUGUUGCCCAGGAUGGUCUUGAGUUUCUGGGCUCAAGCGAUCCUCCCACUUUGGAAUCCCAAAGUACUGGGAUUACAGGUGUGAGCCACCGCACUAGCCCUAUUAUUUUUAUUUUUAUUUUAUUUUUUUGAGACAGUGUCUUGCUCUGUCAUCAGGCUGAAGUGCAGUGGCACAAUCUAGGCUCACUGCAACUUCCACCUCCUGGGUUUAAGCAAUUCUUCUGCCUUAGCCUCCCGAGUAGCUGGGACCACAGGCGUGUGCCACCAUGCCCGGCUAAUUUUUGUAUUUUUAGUAGAGAGAGGGUUUCACCAUGUUGGCCAGGAUGGUCUUGAUCUCUUGACCUCGCGAUCCACCCGCCUUGACCUCCCAAAGUGUGGGGAUUAUAGGCAUGAGCGACUGCGCCCGACUAUUUUUUUUUAUUUUUAAGGAAAUACUGUCUUACAGACAGACUUCAAGAGCCUCUCCCACCUGCUCCAGGGCCUAGCUAGCUCCUAUGGCACCUCUGUGAGAAUUAGGACAAGGAAACCCCUCUAGAAGGAACUUGCUCUGUGGGUACAGGGUGUGGCUGGUUGAUGGUGCUUUCUAUGAACUAUUAAAGGCAUCUUUCCUUCUGUGGGCUAGGCUCAUACGAGGACAUGAGUUAGCUGUUGGAGCAAAGGCUGGACUUUAGCCCUUGCUUUCCUCCUUGUGCAGUGGGCCACCUGCACACCCAUAUAGGGCAGUCCUUCACCCCUUUUCCCUCUUCUUCCUCAAACUGAGGCACCAUUCCAUACUGAUGCCAUUGUGUAUCCCUCACAUCCACAUGUGUAUAUUUCCCCACUUUUCUCCCCUCCCUUUUCAGUUCCUUUCCCUUCUUUCUCCUCCUGUUCCCAGCACUCUCGGUCACAAGUCUUAUACACCAGGCUCUUUGCAUGCCUUUGUAUGUCUUUGUAUAAUAGGCUUAGAAUGUGUGUGCAUUAUUAUUGCUACAUGGGAUGGGUGUUCUCAUGGCAUUCUUUCAGGGAUUGGCACAUAAUAGAUGCUCAAGAUUGUGUGACUGGGUUGUAUGUCUAUUUGCAUCUCUCUGUGCAUCUUGGCACUCUGGCACUCCCCAGCCAUUCCCUUCCCAGAGCUUAGAAGGGAGAGGGAAUUAGUAGGGAAGUCCACAGGGCUGAGGGCUUGUCUCCUCAGUCUCUGCUGGUCUCUGCUCAGCCCAUGGUUCUUUCACCAUGAUACUCAGUCUUCCGUGGAGCCCUGAAAAGGGCAAAUCGAGGGCCACUCUUGCCCUGCCCUGCCCCAUGGGCCUGGAGGUGGGGCCCCCUCUGCUUCCCUCUCCAGGCCUCCUAAGGCCUCCAAGCCAGAGCUGGUAGGGGAGCGGUGAGGGGGGGUGCAGUGGGAGGAGGAGAGGGAGCCUGAGGAAGCUGGGCAGGGGCUGGCGGCCCCUGGGACCCCUUUCUACAAGGACAGAGGCGGCACCAGCUGCUCCACAGAAGAAAUAUUCCCCAAAGUCAGAGUGGUCGCCUCGUAUUUUAAGUGGCCCUUAUUUAUCACCGUCCUCCUGGGCUCCCUAUCGCUGCAAAUGAUGAUAAAAGACAGUGGUGAGGGGGGUGCGGGGGCUGCUCCCAGCUGGCCCUGCCGCACCAGGGGAGGCGCAGGCACACAGCAACACACGGGUACAGCAACACGUAUGCAAACGCAUCAACACACAUGCACAAUGACAUACACACACAGACGCAGACACAGACAUGCAGUACAUCCGUGCCAACAGCCACACACACACGCGCACACACGCACACACACAGUGACAUGCACACACAGACGCAGACACAGACAUGCAGUACGUCGGUGCUAACAGCCACACACACAUACACAGUGACAUGCACACACAGACACACAGACAUGCAGUAUGUCCGUGUCAACAGCCACACACACACACACACAGAGUGACAUGCACACACAGACACAGACAUGCAUUACGUCCGUGCCAACAGCCACACACACACACACACACACAGAGUGACAUGCACACACAGACUCAGCUGCAACAGUGACAUGCCCACAAAUGCUAAACAUAUUUGAUGCCAGGUGACACUCACAACUGUGAACAUACACAGAGCCUGAUACAGGUGCAGGGACACAUUCACUUGCACACACAUAUACCAAUAUGCAUGUAUAGUGAUAGACACAGACACAUAGCACACAUGUGACAAACAUGUCACUCACCAAAACAAGCAUGCACUCACCCCAGGCACUCACCCCAGGCACUCACACCUCAGUGUGCAAUACCCACUCCUCGAGCCAACUGUGCUGAUGUAUCCACCAUUUUCAGUGUGACUCUACGUGUGUCUGCCUCGGAUGACCUCUGCAUAGAGGCCACCGUCUCCAUGUGGCAUCCAGCUCAUAAGUGUGUACUUUACUCCAUCCAAACCUAGCCAAACACAUGGAUGUGCAAAUGCAUCCAUAGUCCAACCAAAAACACAGAACAUCAAACUUUACCUCUCACCAUCCAUGGAAAUUAACUCCAAAUAGAUCAGACCCAAAUGCCAGAUGUAAAACAAUACAACUUCUUAAAGAAAAUACGGGGAAGAUUUUUGGGAUCUUGAGGUAGGCAGAGAUUUUUUGGGUAGAACAUAGUCAUAGGCUGGAAUUGCAUAUCAUUGAGCACAAGCUCUGAAAUCAGAAACCCUCUCUUUGAUUCCUGUCUUACUAUAUAACUGGCUGCACUGACCUUGGGUAACUGACUUGCUUUCUCUGAGCUCAUGUGCCUUCUUGUACAAUGAAGGUAUAAUAUUGCCUACCUCUCUGGAUGCCUGUAAAGUCCAGAGAACUAAUGCAUGUGAAAUAGUUUUUAUUUUUUAUUUUUAUUGUUUUUGAGACAGGUUCUCACUCUGUCACCCAGGCUGGAGUUCAGUGGUGCAAUCUCAUUGCAACCUCUGCUUCCCAGGCUCAAGCUGUCCUCCCAUCUCAGCCUCCUGAGUAGCUGGAACUAUAGGCAUGUGCCACCAUGCUCAGCUAAUGUUUUAAUUUUUUUUUUGUAGAGAUGAGGUCUCAUUAUAUUGCUCAUGCUGGGCUCAUGUGAUCCUUCUGCUUUGGCCUCUCAAAGUGCUGGUAUGACAGGUGUGAUUAAUGGUGACUGGCCUGAAAUACCCUUUGAAAGUUGUGAUGUACUGUAUGAAGUUUGGCUAAGUAGAAAAAAAAGUUUUGUGUAUUUUAAUUAUUCACACACACCUAGGCAUACCUCUUAAAUAAGCAGUCCAUAACCCACGCACCUGCCUGCCUGCUCACUCAGGGGAGCUGGGGUUGGGGUGUAACACUGACCUUCCCCUUGUCCAGGGAAGUCUCCCUCCGCCCUAAUCCCAUACCCUUUCCACACCCAGUUGCCAAUCAGCCUUACUCCCCAGCCUCAGCCCGUUAGUAUGGCUCCCUGGGGGAAUCGAUUUUUUAAAGGUUAUUAGCAGAUUAUUGGUUCUUUAUUAACCUCAGGCCCAAAUCUCCAAUCUCCCAAUGAAGCUAUUGUCGCCUAAUACUAUGUACUCGAUAAUCUUGGCAUGAAGGUGGUGGAGGGCCUGGCGGGGUGGGGGGCAGCUGGGAGGAGGGAAGGGUUAACGGCACCACCCCAGCCUCCACCCUUUCAGUCCUCAAAUAGCUGAACUACUGUAUGUUGUAGUUUUCAACUGCAAAUCAUCUUUAAUAGCAGACAUCACGGGAUGGCUCAUUACAUUAAGCUAUUUUUCAUGCUAUCUCCUGUAAUAUCCUCUAAUCCAAUGCGUUUCAAAUCACCUCGGGCUAAAAUAAGAGACAUAGCGAUGUAAUAGCCUAGUGUAUUAGUGGGUUAAUUGCCCUGUUGUACUCUUUCUAGUAGCUAUCUCUGGAAUGACUUCUAUAUUAAUUGUAAAUUGCUUAAUACAUUUAACUCCUUGCCACCGCCCUAUCCCCUAACGAAGGCGGCCACUACCCAGUUGCUUGUGUGUGUGUAUGUGUUUUGUGGGCACUCCUUUCCAACUCUGGUUCCCCUCUGUCUCCUUGGCCCAUGCUGGAGGAGCAGGUUUGACAUACACUUCUCUGUCUAAUAAGGGGAAGGGAAUGAGACAUGCAUUUAUCGAACACUUAUUAUAUGCCAGGCCCUGGGCUAGGUCUUUUCACCAAAUGCGGUCUCACUGGCACCUCAAAGACCCUGAGUAGUGGCAGCAUUCAACCCAGAGGUCAUGCAACUUGUUCAAGGUCACAGAGCGAUGAUUUGAUGAAGCUGUGGUUACACCCAGACCCGAGGGCUCCUAGAACCACAGUAGUUGAGCGUGGGUCAGGACCUGGGGUUUUGGACAUUAGGUCAGAUGUGGUCAGCAGGGUCCUGGGGCAGCUCCUGGUCUGCAGGGAAGAGACACAGCCCUUGGCCUGUGGGAGUCCCCAGUCUGUUGGGAGAGACACAAGCCCUGCAUGAGGGGAGCUCCCAGUCUGAUGAGGGAGCUCCAGCCUCUAGCCUGGGGAGCCCCUAGUUUGAUGGGAAGAGAGAUCCUCUGCCAAGGGUAAGCUCAGCAAAUGGGGAACACAGCUCCUGUUCGGGGAGCACUCACCCUGACAGGAGGGAUCCAACCUUUGCUUUAGAGAGUCUCUGGUCUGAUGAGGAAAACAUCACUUCUGUCCUGGAGGAACCCUCAGUCAGAUGGAGGAGACACCGAUCCACACAGAGAAAAUGGAAAUGAGGUGCAAAUGCAUGAGAGGCAGGCAGAGUGAAUGCACAUGGCAGACAGUGAGCUCGGAGGAUGAGGCCAGAAUCGGCCCCACAGGCCGCAGGGCCAGACUGGGGGUCCUGCCUUGUUGGUUGCCUCUCUCCCUCCCUAGGUGUGUGGUCUCUGCGCUUCCCCGUGGCUGCCCCUCUCCCAGCCUGCAGAGGGAAGCCUAAGCCAGGGCCAGGGCAGUGAUAGAGACCUCCUCCUCUUGGUGCUGAUAGCCCCCAGCUGGCUCCCCCUUUUCCACAGAAGCCUCCAGUGGCCUGUGAAACUGGAGCCUGGGGCCUCUCCUACAGGCUCCAGUUUGCGUCAGGUGUCCAUACUCUGGACAGGUGACAAGUGGGGGAUAGGAAGGAGAAACAUCAGGGAGAGAGAAAGAGCUGAAGGAUGAGUAUAGGGCCUGAUGAAAGGGUGUCAAAAUCACAGGUCACAGGCAUGGGCGAGUGUUUACCUUCUACGUAGUAGUACUUUACACACACACACUUAUGCACACACGUGCAUACACAGAUGCACGUACACACGUGUGAACACACUAGUGCACACACAGGCAUACUGUACACGCACGCACGUGCACACAAGUACACGCUCAUGCACACAUGCAUGUGUGUAUACACACAGGUACGCAUGCACAUGCACGCACAUGCACGCACACACACAAGCACCCACACAACGCACUCAUGUAUACACACACGCACACGCAGGCACACACGUACACGCAUGCGCACAUAUCCGCAUGCACAUACAGGUAAACACACACGCACAAGCGCGCGCACACACGAUGCAUUCUGCGUGCGUCAUACGGGAGUCACAGGAUUGGAAACUCCUGAACUGCUUUCUCAGGGCGUCUAGCUGGGCAGAGGGACCCAAGUUCAAAGUUGCCUCACGGAGCCUUCUUCCUUCAGGGGCGGUCCUGACUGACCUCAGUCUGGAACAGAAGCGGGCCUUAGAGGCUCUCGAUGAGUUUGCGCCCGGGUCUGUGGCCUCCUUUCUCCCUGAGCUAAGUCCUUGGGCCAAAAAACAAGAAAGAAGGAAAGAGGAAGGGAGGGAAGGGACGUACCGGCGGAGGGCGCAGCGGGCGGCUUGCGGAGCCGUCCUGGCUCGGGGUGGGGGCUCGGCCAGAGUCCCCGCGGCGGUUCUGCGGCUGCCGGCUCGGGAGCAACCUUGAGCGCGGCCACGGAGACAGUGAUUUAGGUGCUGGCACCGGAGCGUGAAGGAACUCAUGAUUGCUGAAGGAAGAUGGGCAUGUACACAGACAGUGUCAGGAGGGAACAGGGCUCGUGAAACAGGUGUCCUUCAGCCUGGGACACCUGAAGGCAAGUGAGAAGCCACAGGGGAUGAUGGACUGAUGCCUUCCCUGCUUCUACACACGAGAGUUCUUCCUCUGAUGAGCCCCUCUGCCUCUGCUCUGGUUUGGAUGACACCGCCCCCACCCCCUGGGGCUCCCAUCUCAUAAUGGAUGCAGUACCUUCUUCUCCAGUCCACACAUCUUCAUUGUACCAACUCAUGACCACUUUUGGACACAAUAAUGCCCAAAAGUGGUCAUGAGAGCAGAGAGAGCAGUGUAGGUUUGAGAGUGUUCAAUGGAAAGAGAUCAAGCUGAGAUUUCCCAAGAGCUCUCACUCAAAACUGGCAGGCCAGCUGUUAAAUUACUAUGGUAAGGAGAGAAGGAAAGGAAGAGAGAGGAAAGAAGGAGAAGAAAAGACAAUAGAGAGAGAAAAAGGAAGGAAAGAAAGAGGAAGGAAGGAAAAGAAAUAAAAGAAAGGAGAAAGAAGUAGAAGUUGGGUGAAGAGCAUGAAGAGGGAGUAAGGAAAAGGGGAAAAUAAAAGAGAAUGGGAAUAAGACAGAAAGGAAUCCAGGAGAAAUAAGGAAAGAGAAAAAGGGAAGGAAGGAGGCCAAAGAGGCUGGGGAGGGUAUGGGGGUGGGGAGGGAGAGUCAGCUCCACUCUGGCAAGGGGUGGGAGAUUGAAGGCUGAAUCGCAGCAGGCAGUGGAGGAGAGGAAUAAGUCAUAAACGCUGCAGGGGCAAAGGUCAAAUAUAGACUGAUGGCUCCAUUGUUUCCCAGCUGGUGAGGAGGACCCUGUUGGGGGCUGCUGAAAUGCUUAAACCCUUCCCUGUCCAGCCCUUUAAUGGUGAGGCAGGUGUGGGGAUGCAGAGUGAGAAAAAGCCCCUGUGGGUCCAGGGUGAAGAUUAGGGCAUUAGAGUUGGAACUGGACAUGGGACAGGGUGGGUACUGGGUCUUGGAAGAAGGGACUCCAAAGUCUUCUCCACUUCAACUCAUAGGAGGUAGAAUAAAGAAAACAUGCCACCUCUCUUUUUCUAAUAGUAGUAGUCCUCUUUUGCAUCUCUGUAGAGAUUUCCCAGGGAAGAAAGAAGUUCUUGGGAAAUGGUUGAGUAACACUAUCAACAACAAUAAUAAAUAGUAUUAACAAUAUAAAUGAAUGUUUACUAAGGAAUAAAAUAAAAUUCAUAUUAAUUAAUAUUUAUCAACCAUUAAUACAUGCUCUUAUGUACAGUGCUUAUGGGUUUAAAAAUAACUUUAACAAACAUGUUAUUACAUCUAACAAUCCUGUGUGAUAGGUAUUAUCAGCACCAUUUCAUCAGUGAAGAAAUUGAUGCUCAGACUUGUCCAAAUUGUGCCAGUUAGCAGCUUUCUGAAUCCUGAUCCACAGAUCUUUGUACUACCCAGAAUUUUCCUUGGGCAGUAUCAUACUCACCAUAGAGGAAGAACAGAGACUUUCAGGAAGUGUUUGGUAUGACAUGACACUUGCCAGUUGAGAAAGCCAGAUGUAGUUAGAGAGGGGGUGAGAGGAUUAUGUCCAUCUGUGGGACAUGUCUUCAGCACCACGAACAGUUCUCAUACCACCUUUUCCCCAUCCCCUCUUCGCCAGACUAUGAAGCCUAGGAUGGGUGGGGAGGUGGUGCAGGGGGAAUACCACCAGACUCCUUAAGCCCUCCCCAGGGGAGAGGUGGAGGGGCUGGGGGACGGGAUGUCUACUCCUUGUGGGCUGUAACUCCACCCCCCACCCCAUGAUGUAUAGACUGACAAAGGACUUAAUGCUGUGAAUACAUAAAGCGGCGGAGGCCUGGGCGGUGGAGGGUGACAGCUGCCCUUUAAUGCUUGGCUUUUUAAAGAUCAUGGUAGAGUUCAGAAAGUAUAGUCAUGAGGUUUAAUGAUUUAAUGGGGACGACUGGGGAGCAAAAUAGUUACUGCACCCUGGGGAAAAGUGACUCCUCAUACAUAUUACUUUAGCCUAAUGGCCUAUAACGCCCUCCCCUCGUGCCCGCGGGGGGAGUCACGCUACAUAGCCGCUGUAAUACCGAAUGGCCUGAUUAAAUGCAUAUUAAACAAUACUAAAUUGAGGAAAAAAAGGCGGAGGCAGUGCUAAAUCUAUUUAUUCUGUGAGGGGAAGAUAUGACUCCUCUGGUAGUGGAUGGAAGAAGUCCUGCCUAGCCAGUUCCCCAAAAGAUGUGGUGUCCCAGUGAGAUUUAGAGAGAGGUAGAAACCUCAUUUCUUUGAGAAGAACUUACGGGGGAAGGCAACUCCAAAAUUGAAGGGAAAUGCUAGACAACCAAGGAUCUGGAAUGCCAGGAGUAAGAAGGGUCCACAAGAUCUACUGUCCCAAGAGGCCCCAGUGAUUCCCAGCUUGGAGUUCUGCCCACAGAUGUAUGUGUGGUUUGAUUCUAAUCAGUCAUUUUUGAGACUUUUCUGUAAAUCCAGGGGCCACUUUGAGAUUCUUGGGUCCACUGUACUGGUCUCAUUACCUGUAAACCACUCCCCUCCCUCAACAUGACCCUGGUCAUCAGUUUCUAAGAUCACUGAUGAGGCUACAAUGAGAAUGAAGCCUUAGAUCUUCAAUGCACCUGGGUUCUAUAGACCACAAAUGCAUGCUAGAAUCACCUGGGUAGGUUUUUUUAAAGUGCCAGUGUCUGAAUUAUUCUCCUCAAGAGAUUCUGAUUCACUUGGCUUGGGGUGUGUCCCAGGUGUUGGUAUUUUUUAAAAGCUACCCAGGUAGUCCAAUGUGGAUCCAAAGUUGAGAAUCACUUUAGUAGAGUGUCAGAGCUUGGAGAGACUUUGGAAAGCACCCAGUUUAAGUUUUUUGUUUCAGAGAUGAGGAGUUGAGGCUUAGAGAGGUCAUGACUUCUCCAAGAUCCAUAGGAAUAGACUGGACUCGACUCCCAACCCUGUCUUCUUUCCAUUGCACUCCUUCCUUUUUUAUGGUAGAAUGAACAGGGCCAGAUCAGAGCCAGUGACUAUGAAACAUCAGAAUCCUGGCUCUGUAGCUUCCUAUCUCAGACCCAGGCAGACCCAAGAUGGCAACUUUUUCCGUGGACUUAAGUAGAGGGAUUCUUUGGUCACUCAACUUUGCCUGAGAUGCCAACACAUGUGUUUUUCUGACCCCAAGAACCUUCCAGACAACCUCUCUGGCCCCUAAUCCUUUAGGCUCUGGCUGACCUAUGGCCUCCUAUAGUGAAGCAUUUAAGAGCAUGGGCUCUGUAGCCAAGCUACUUGGAUUUAAGCUUGGACCUGCCACUUAUUACCAGUAUAACUUUGGAGAAGUUAGUUAACACCCAGGCAUUUCAGUUUUCUUAUCUGUAAAAGGGAUAUAAUAACAGCACUUACUUUGUAAGACUGAUAUAAGGAUGAAAUGAGUUAAUAUAUGUAAAAGUACUGAAAACAAUGUCUAACAUGUAGUAAUUGCCAUGUAAGUGAUAACUAUUUUUGAUUUAACAUUUUAAAUGUGCCUUUCUAUUAAAGAUUGCAAUGCAUUAAGUUGUUCAAUAUAUUAUAUUUGCCUUCCAACUCCAAAAUCUUUAAGGAUAGAUUCUAGGGUCUAUACUCAGAGACUUUGGUUCUCUCAGAUCCUGAGAGAUCCAGGUAAGUUCAGACACUGCCUUCCACAAAGUGGAGGAGAAAAAGCUUGGAUAGAAGAGGGUAACAGGAGCAAGGUUAUGUAGAAGCUCAGCUCCAGGAGAGUGCCAAGAUGAAGGUUCUACCUGUCCUCUGGGGAUGUUUGAAAUGCUUAAAGAUACCUAAGUUGGUGGUGAUGGCUGCUAGACCCCAAAAACGCCCACUGGCAAGUAAAAUUAAACAGAAAGGAGUCCUGUUUCUAGUUUCCUCAUGGGAAUAGUGGUGGUGCAUGAGUGCCCAUUCACCUUUUUACAUACUCACAGCUUGGCUUUGUUGAGGCACAAUCUGAUUUCCAAACUGAGUUUCCUGUUUUCUUAGCCACUGACUGGGAUGCAGUGGGACAGUCCCCCAAAUCAUCCAAGACAUGGGAAGUCCAUAGUACUCUUCCCUGUUCCUGGCAUGCACCUGUCCAUGCGUCCUGGGGAGAAUGAGACAGGAGUAUGGACUUCAAGGAGGCACCAUCUUCUCAUACUAGUUUCUGAACUUUUAGAUGCUGACAUAUAGGACUGUGCAAGAGUAGCCUUCCCAACAUCAUCACCAAUGACUACCCUUCGCAAACCUUCUGUCCUGGAAUACAGCCCUACUGUCCCCAAUUCGUGUUGCUCCUUUUGACACUCCAGUCUUGACCUAUCCUACUUUCUUCAUCUGAAUUGCCUUUCUCCAUUAUUCUGUGUCCAACUUAUGCCCAUCCUUCAAAGCCCAGGUUAAGAGCCAUCACCCUCUAGCAAGUGCCCUCUGAUUCACCCAAUGAAAUGGUUUUCUCUCUGUCUUGAGAACUUUACAGUCUUUUUAGUUCCCUUCCUUACUGACCUGAUCACAAACUGCCUUGUACCACCAUUACCUGGGCUCCUCAUGGCUCAACCACUAAACUCUAAGCUUCUGAAAGAACCAUGUGCCCCACACUCUACAGUCUAACACCAGGCUUGCCCAGAGUCUAUGUAUUGUCGAACAGAUAGGUGGAGGGUUGAGUGAACGAGGAAUAUCCUCACCUACUCUGAAGACCAAAACCUCACAUUAAGUAAAAAGCAACAGUUAGGCUUCUCCAGACCCAAGCAGAAAAACUUAAAAGGGCUAGAAACAUACCACUAGAGGAGUUAGUGGCAGAACCCCUCAGCUCCAACCGCAGACCCUCUGCUUGGAGGAGUAGGGAGGGAGGGAAAACUGUGAUUGAUUUCUCCUUUCUGUUCCACCAGAUACCCCUCCACACACUCACACACAGUAUCACACACAUAGUCCUCACUGCCUACUCUCCUCCUUUC
Non-coding RNA from Callithrix jacchus (white-tufted-ear marmoset), 11299 nucleotides. Lineage: Eukaryota; Metazoa; Chordata; Mammalia; Primates; Cebidae. The record is from RefSeq and is a predicted model, not a curated record.